This 416-nucleotide ribosomal RNA is filed under the name uncultured bacterium. RNAcentral describes it as "bacterial SSU rRNA". It matches the Rfam family "Bacterial small subunit ribosomal RNA", at positions 390 to 803 of the family's 1533-position model. The record is from RNAcentral.
AGCCAAGUCGCGUGAGGGAUGAAGGUUCUAUGGAUCGUAAACCUCUUUUAUAAGGGAAUAAAGUGUGGGACGUGUCCUAUUUUGUAUGUACCUUAUGAAUAAGGAUCGGCUAACUCCGUGCCAGCAGCCGCGGUAAUACGGAGGAUCCGAGCGUUAUCCGGAUUUAUUGGGUUUAAAGGGUGCGUAGGCGGCCUUUUAAGUCAGCGGUGAAAGUCUGUGGCUCAACCAUAGAAUUGCCGUUGAAACUGGGGGGCUUGAGUAUGUUUGAGGCAGGCGGAAUGCGUGGUGUAGCGGUGAAAUGCUUAGAUAUCACGCAGAACCCCGAUUGCGAAGGCAGCCUGCCAAGCCAUGACUGACGCUGAUGCACGAAAGCGUGGGGAUCAAACAGGAUUAGAUACCCUGGUAGUCCACGCAGU